Bufo gargarizans (Asiatic toad) is the source of this 1402-nucleotide long non-coding RNA. RefSeq lists it as uncharacterized. The record is from RefSeq and is a predicted model, not a curated record. Lineage: Eukaryota; Metazoa; Chordata; Amphibia; Anura; Bufonidae. The transcript is spliced from 3 exons.
GAUCCCUCAUCAUAGGUGCACAUUGUCAGAAAGGGCACACUGGUAUCUCAGCUCCGGCCUCUCUGUGCAGCAGUCCCCGGAGCGCAUUGACUUUUAUCUCAGCUCCGGCCUCUCUGUGCAGCAGCCCCCGGAGCGCAUUGACUUUUAUCUCAGCUCCGGCCUCUCUGUGCAGCAGCCCCCGGAGCGCAUUGACUUUUAUCUCAGCUCCGGCCUCUCUGUGCAGCAGUCCCCGGAGCGCAUUGACUUUUAUCUCAGCUCCGGCCUCUCUGUGCAGCAGCCCCCGGAGCGCAUUGACUUUUAUCUCAGCUCCGGCCUCUCUGUGCAGCAGCCCCCGGAGCGCAUUGACUUUUAUCUCAGCUCCGGCCUCUCUGCGCCGGCAGCCUCCGGAGCGCAUUGACUAUUAUCUCAGCCCCGGCCUCCUCAUCGCAGCAACCCCCGGAGCGCAUUGACUUUUAUCUCAGCCCCGGCCUCCUCAUCGCAGCAGCCCCCGAGAGCAUUGACUUUUAUCUCCACUCCGGCCUCUCUGUGCAGCAGCCCCCGGAGUGCAGCGACUGUUAUCUCAGCCCCGGCCUCUCUGCGCAGCAGCCUCCGGACACAUUGACUUUUAUCUCGGUUGAUCUUCAGCCUGAUUGUCUCAGGUGAGGAGGCUCUCCCUCCUCUCUAUAAAGGUAAACUCAACAGUGUUACUGAAACAGUCACGAGUAAGGGCUGAGAUUGAAUUGCGCCCGAAACAUGUAGACUCUGCUUUUUGUACCUGGAUUUUAUUGAAUAUCGAAUAAAGCCUUUUUGGAUUACCACAACCUGGACAAAACCUCUUUUUCCAUAUUUUCGUCAUUUCUCCUGAUUCGGGUGAAGGAGUUGUUCCGUGCUAUAACAGUGGAAUCCUUGGCAGUUCUGCCAUAGAUUACAUGAAACUGCCUUGGAACAAAGUUACUGGGAUAAUUACUGAUGGGGCACCUGCCAUGGCUGGUGAACGAAGUGGAUUAUCAACCCUAAUCUGUAACAAGAGCCCUGUGCCACCGCCAGUUUAAACAGUUUCUACUGGAUAUCCAGGCUGAAUACGAAGAUGUUUUAUAUCAUAACGAUGUAAGAUGGCUCAGUCGAGGGUCUGCACUGCAGCAUUUCUACUCUCUCAGCAAAGAAAUUGGAGAAUUCUUGGAAACAAAGGGACAACCGAUGCGAGAACUAUCUGAUCCUAUUUGGCUGGCUGAUUUAGGGUUUCUAGUCGACAUAACAAAGCAUCUGAAUGUACUGAACACGAGUCUUCAGGGCAAAGAUGCAGCGGUGAACCAGCUUUAUUCACACCUCAAAGCCUUUGGAACAAAGCUGCAACUUUUCCAGAAGCAUUUGUCACAAACACCGCCCAAUACCAUUCAUUUUUCAGUGUUGCAGGAAAUAAUUA